RNAcentral lists this ribosomal RNA (494 nucleotides) under uncultured bacterium. RNAcentral describes it as "partial 16S ribosomal RNA". It matches the Rfam family "Bacterial small subunit ribosomal RNA", at positions 28 to 507 of the family's 1533-position model. The record is from RNAcentral.
GACGAACGCUGGCGGCGCGCUUAACACAUGCAAGUCGAACGGAAAGGCCUGCUUUCCCUUGUGGAUUGCGGGUACUCGAGUGGCGAACGGGUGAGUAACACGUGAGUGAUCUGCCCCCAACUUGGGUAUAAGCCUGGGAAACUGGGUCUAAUUCCCGAUAGGACUGCAGGGUGGUGCCUGUGGUGGAAAACGAUUUUCUAGUGGUUGGGGAUGAGCUCGCGGCCUAUCAGCUUGUUGGUGGGGUAAUGGCCUACCAAGGCGGCGACGGGUAGCCGGCCUGAGAGGGUGGACGGCCACAUUGGGACUGAGAUACGGCCCAGACUCCUACGGGAGGCAGCAGUGGGGAAGAUGGCACAAUGGGCGGAAGCCUGAUGCAGCGACGCCGCGUGGGGGAUGACGGCCUUCGGGUUGUAAGCUCCUUUCGACCGCGAGGAAGCCACCUGGUUGGAAGGGUGGUGACGGUAGUGGUAGAAGAAGCACCGGCUAACUACGUG